This is a small nuclear RNA of Nycticebus coucang (slow loris), 141 nucleotides long. RefSeq annotates it as U4 spliceosomal RNA. Lineage: Eukaryota; Metazoa; Chordata; Mammalia; Primates; Lorisidae. The record is from RefSeq and is a predicted model, not a curated record. The transcript has a single exon.
AGCUUUGCAUAGUGGCAGUAUCACAGCCAAUGAGGUUUAUCUGAGGCACGAAUCUUGUUAAUUAAAAGCUUCUCCCAGUACCCCAUCACGACGACUUGAAAUAUAGUCGGCAUUGGCAAUUUUUGAUAGUCUCUAUGGAGU